Stegodyphus mimosarum is the source of this 46-nucleotide non-coding RNA. The record is from Rfam. Lineage: Eukaryota; Metazoa; Arthropoda; Arachnida; Araneae; Eresidae.
AAUAAGGCCCUUUUCAGGGUCAUAUAAAUUUAAUAAAAGAAAUAUG